Meriones unguiculatus (Mongolian gerbil) is the source of this 140-nucleotide small nucleolar RNA. The record is from Ensembl. NCBI's taxonomy places the organism in Eukaryota, Metazoa, Chordata, Mammalia, Rodentia, Muridae.
GCUGUCUUCGAUCCAUCAGCACCACGGGCACAGCACCGCUCAGCUGUGCCUGUGACAGUGGGGCAAAGAGCAAGUGGCUAUUUCUACGCUCAGUGUUCGGAAGCCAGUGAGCACUAAGAAUGGUUUAUAGCCUGACAUUU